This 2738-nucleotide unclassified non-coding RNA is filed under the name Homarus americanus (American lobster). Its description in RNAcentral is "dENN domain-containing protein 1A-like, transcript variant X7". The record is from RNAcentral. Lineage: Eukaryota; Metazoa; Arthropoda; Malacostraca; Decapoda; Nephropidae.
AUAACCUGUAGAACAACACCAAGGCGGAGACAUCUGUCGGCCAUGAAGUGGGACACCGCCUAUUAUCUUCCAUUAUGGGCUCUAGGCUGAGAGAGAACCCAAAACGGCUCCUGGAGUGUUGGUGCGAGGUGGUGGGUCCCAAGGGAAGAGAGCGACCGGCAUGGAUCAUCCAGAAGUUCCCCAACAGCUACGACAUCGAAGAGGUCCUUAAAAGUGUUCCCCAGUUUGCCUUCCCGUGUUCGUUUGAAAGCUCAAAUGUCCAACACUUUUCUUUUGUACUGACAAGCCUGGACUCAAAAUGGACGUAUGGGUUCUGCCGUCACGCUCCAGGGGCAGAAACUGCUCUUGUGUUGCUCUCACAUCUACCAUGGCACGAGACAUUUUACAAACUUCUCAACCACCUGUCGGAGAUGAUGAGCUCCGACAGGACGAGCGACAUGGCCUCGUGUCUCCAGAACAUCUACAAGUCGCCGGUUCCUCAUCCUGGCUCGGAGAUUACCGUACCUUACGGGGACAGCAAGUUCUUUGUAGCUCAGUGUCCAAACCAUCUAAAACUUCCAACCAUCCCAGAAAAUCGGAACCUCUCGGAGUACUACAACGCCGUGGAUACAAACAACAUGAUAAUUAUAUUCGCAUCGAUGCUGUACGAAAGACGGAUCAUCAUGAUGUCUAAACGUCUCUCUAGGCUGUCUGCGUGUGUCCAGGCAGCCAACUCUGUCAUCUACCCCAUGCAGUGGCAGCACAUCUUUAUACCCGUGUUGCCGCAGCACCUCCUCGAUUACCUCCUGGCCCCCAUGCCUUUCUUAAUAGGGGUCAACACCUUACUCUUGGCGAAAGUACAAAUGGAUGACGUAGGGGAAGCUGUGAUAUUAGACGCUGACAACAAUACUGUCAAGACGCCCUUUAAUGAUGUAGACACCUUGCCUGAUGAGGUGGUUAUUAAUCUCAAAAGAAAUCUGAAGUCGUCAAACAACAUGCUCGGCGACAGUGUUGCUCGUGCGUUCCUGCGCGCGCUCGUCCAGCUCAUAGGCAACUACAAAGAAGCAUUACAGUUUAGAGAAGAAGAUUCGAGAAUAACUUUUAAUAGGGAGAAGUUUGUUGCAAUCCGUCCUCCAAAUUUCCAGCCAUUUGUCGAGAAAAUGUUGGAACUUCAGAUUUUUCAACAGUUUAUUGAAGAAAGAUUAGAACGCCUUAACUCCGGUAAGCAAACUUCGGAUGAGUUUGAACUAGAAGUAAGUGUGUAUUGUGAAAAGUCGUCGUCCAAGGUGAAGCAGCAGUACAAACAGUUUGUCACUAAUGUGCGCAAAGAGGGCGGUGCUAUAGUGAAGACCAUGAAGAACAAGAGCCCGUUUAGACACCUGAAAAGUAACAGUAACACCGUAACUAAAGGUAGCAAACAAGUGAAAGAGAAGAGCAGACAGACGUACAAGGACCUGAGAGGGAAGAUAAAGGACUUCCAGCAGCCUAGGGUGGAGGAUGGUACACUGCCACCAACCUGGAUCAAUGGUGAGUCCCCACAAAAGCCUCGGUCAGCGCCCUCAUCUCCCGUCCUCGGUGUGAAGCGGCGGCCACGGACGGUCGGUGGCAACAUGGCCGGAUACUCAGCUAAAGCUACGUACAAGAGAGCUUCUCAGAUUAAUAUUAGAGAAGACUGCAUUUUACCCGGGGCCCCUAAGUAUGAGCUAAUUGACACUGACAGUGGGUUGAUGUCUCCGGGCUCCACAGACAGCCUCAGCACGCCCUCCCCUCAGAGCAUCGACCUCAUAGGUGAGAUGGAGGAGAUUAUCCGUGCCAAGCUUGGUCAGGAGAGUGAGGUGGAUGGGGAACCAGGUCACAGCAGCACGGGAGGUAGCAACAGUGCCACGAGCAGCGUACACAACAGCCCUGGCUCAGAGUCUGCCUCGGGGUCAACCUCUACUGUCACCAUGCUGCAGUCUCUCAAAGACCAUCCUCCAUCACUCAUGGCUUCAAAAAGGCUAAGAAAGUCACUCACUAUCCCAUCUUAUUUGGCCUUUAAUAACGAACCUGCAGCCUGGAUGUUCAAAGGCAAUGUGUACCGUGGGCAUCUGAGUGCCAGCCUCACCUCUCUCCCUCUCAUUGACCUCUCCUUAAACAUUGAACUUCCUCCUCCCAUUAUGACAUCUUUUGGCUACCGUUUCCCUGUCACCUUUGAGGAUGACAAUGGUGGUGGUGGUGGUGGUGAAGAUGAGGAUGUUGUAGGCAGCCCCUCCUCUUCGCACUUUCGCUCACCUAAGCUUCUGCACAAUGAAUCUGAUUCCGUCGACACUGUUUAUGGGGACGAUGGUUCCUCUGUGUUAGAUGAAAAUAUCUGGGGACAAACCCACCUCUCGCCACAUUCUCCUUCUCCUCGUCCUUCUGUCUCCAACGUCUCUGCUGUAUGUACGAGCCAGUCGACGUCCCCCCGAGGCCGUGGCAAAUCAGGACGGGUCAUCUCAGGACCUCAUCUUCCUGGAGUCUCCACAGGAUGAAAUCUUCGAUCCACUGUAUGCCAAGGACCUCCCCCAAAAGACUCAUCCCGGAGGAAGACCUGCCCAACCGCCACCACCUGUCCCUACAAGCAAAUCAACAUCCAGUCUACCAGGAGCAUCAACAGCUGUUGAAAAAGGGGUUGGUGUUGGCAGUUUAAGUACCUCCCAGCUUCCUGGUACCACUGCACCUCACCCGGCUCUCUCACGUUCCACAGCCAUCAACACUACUGGUCUACCUAAUGCCACGCC